RNAcentral lists this transfer RNA (90 nucleotides) under Alphaproteobacteria bacterium. Its description in RNAcentral is "tRNA-Ser". It matches the Rfam family "tRNA". Rfam says of the family: Transfer RNA (tRNA) molecules are approximately 80 nucleotides in length. Their secondary structure includes four short double-helical elements and three loops (D, anti-codon, and T loops). Lineage: Bacteria; Pseudomonadati; Pseudomonadota; Alphaproteobacteria. The record is from RNAcentral.
GGAGGGGUGCCGGAGUGGUCGAACGGGCCGGUCUCGAAAACCGGUGUACUCUUGCGGGUACCGUGGGUUCGAAUCCCACCCCCUCCGCCA